GAUGAAGAACGCAGCGAAAUGCGAUACGUAAUGUGAAUUGCAAAUUCAGUGAAUCAUCGAGUCUUUGAACGCACAUUGCGCCCCCUGGUAUUCCGGGGGGCAUGCCUGUCCGAGCGUCAUUGCUGCCCUCAAGCACGGCUUGUGUGUUGGGCCUCCGUCCUCCUCCCGGGGGACGGGCCCGAAAGGCAGCGGCGGCACCGCGUCCGGUCCUCGAGCGUAUGGGGCUUCGUCACCCGCUCUUGUAGGCCCGGCCGGCGCUUGCCGACACAUCAAUCUUUUUUCCAGGUUGACCUCGGAUCAGGUAGGGAUACCCGCUGAACUUAAGCAUAUCAAUAAGCGGAGG
Molecule: unclassified non-coding RNA, 343 nt
Filed under: soil metagenome
Description: partial contains 5.8S ribosomal RNA, internal transcribed spacer 2, and large subunit ribosomal RNA
Rfam family: 5.8S ribosomal RNA (bases 1-119)
Source: RNAcentral